AACGCGAAGAACCUUACCUGGUCUUGACAUCCACGGAAGUUUUCAGAGAUGAGAAUGUGCCUUCGGGAACCGUGAGACAGGUGCUGCAUGGCUGUCGUCAGCUCGUGUUGUGAAAUGUUGGGUUAAGUCCCGCAACGAGCGCAACCCUUAUCCUUUGUUGCCAGCGGUCCGGCCGGGAACUCAAAGGAGACUGCCAGUGAUAAACUGGAGGAAGGUGGGGAUGACGUCAAGUCAUCAUGGCCCUUACGACCAGGGCUACACACGUGCUACAAUGGCGCAUACAAAGAGAAGCGACCUCGCGAGAGCAAGCGGACCUCAUAAAGUGCGUCGUAGUCCGGAUUGGAGUCUGCAACUC
Molecule: ribosomal RNA, 355 nt
Filed under: bacterium enrichment culture DGGE gel band N13
Lineage: Bacteria
Description: bacterial SSU rRNA
Rfam family: Bacterial small subunit ribosomal RNA
Source: RNAcentral